GGGACACGUGAUAUCCUGUCUGAAUAUGGGGGGACCAUCCUCCAAGGCUAAAUACUACUGACUGACCGAUAGUGAACCAGUACCGUGAGGGAAAGGCGAAAAGAACCCCUGUGAGGGGAGUGAAAUAGAACCUGAAACCGUGUACGUACAAGCAGUAGGAGCAGGCUUUGUCCUGUGACUGCGUACCUUUUGUAUAAUGGGUCAGCGACUUAUAUUCAGUGGCAAGGUUAACCAUCUAGGGGAGCCGUAGGGAAACCGAGUCUUAACUGGGCGUUCAGUCUCUGGAUAUAGACCCGAAACCAGGUGAUCUAGCCAUGGGCAGGUUGAAGGUUGAGUAACAUCAACUGGAGGACCGAACCGACUAAUGUUGAAAAAUUAGCGGAUGACUUGUGGCUAGGGGUGAAAGGCCAAUCAAACCUGGAGAUAGCUGGUUCUCCCCGAAAGCUAUUUAGGUAGCGCCUCGGACGAAUACUACUGGGGGUAGAGCACUGUUAAGGCUAGGGGGUCAUCCCGACUUACCAACCCUUUGCA
Molecule: ribosomal RNA, 531 nt
Filed under: Vibrio parahaemolyticus
Lineage: Bacteria; Pseudomonadati; Pseudomonadota; Gammaproteobacteria; Vibrionales; Vibrionaceae
Description: partial 23S ribosomal RNA
Rfam family: Bacterial large subunit ribosomal RNA
Source: RNAcentral